UGGAAUAUUCUGGGAGUUGUAGUCUUUCAAACAGAGCUUUGCAAGUACAUACCUGUAUUGGAACACUACAGCUCCCUGAACUUCCUAGUGUCA
RNAcentral lists this microRNA precursor (93 nucleotides) under Alligator mississippiensis (American alligator). RNAcentral's name for it is "microRNA ami-mir-1805 precursor". It matches the Rfam family "mir-1805 microRNA precursor family". Lineage: Eukaryota; Metazoa; Chordata; Crocodylia; Alligatoridae. The record is from miRBase by way of RNAcentral.